This 497-nucleotide ribosomal RNA is filed under the name uncultured bacterium. RNAcentral describes it as "partial 16S ribosomal RNA". It matches the Rfam family "Bacterial small subunit ribosomal RNA", at positions 28 to 507 of the family's 1533-position model. The record is from RNAcentral.
GAUGAACGCUGGCGGCGUGCCUAAUACAUGCAAGUCGAGCGAACAGACGAGGAGCUUGCUCCUCUGACGUUAGCGGCGGACGGGUGAGUAACACGUGGAUAACCUACCUAUAAGUCUGGGAUCACUUCGGGAAUCCGGCGCUAAUCCCGGAUAAUCUAUUGAACCGCAUGGUUCAAUAGUGAAAGACGGUUUUGCUGUCACUUCUAGAUGGAUCCGCGCCGCAUUAGCUAGUUGUUAAGGUAACGGCUUACCAAGGCAACUAUGCGUAGCCGACCGACGAGGGGGAUCGCCCACAUGGGAAGGGAGACAGGGUCAAUACGACUAAGGGAGGGACCAGUAGGGAACCUGCCGCAGUGGGGGAAAGCCUGACGGAGCAACGCCGCGCGAGUGAUGAAGGUGUUCGGAGCGGAAAACCCUGUUAUGAGGGAAGAACAAAUGUGUAAGGAACUAUGCACGUCGUGACGGUACCUAAUCAGAAAGCCACGGCUAACUACGUG